AAAAAAAAUAACCCAGCCUCAGAGGUGCUUAUUUAGCAAAUUCAACCUUAAACCUGAGUGCAUGGAAACUAUUGAUGCAGUGUCCAAGGUGGAGAAAGGUCAGAGUGGAUCCAGAGGAGCCAAGAGAAGACGUCCAGCAUGGUGACCUGGGCUCAAGUCAAGGUCCUUAUUUCUCUGAUUUCUGUUCAGAAAACACAUCUUCAGGAAAAUCACCCCUGACUCACCCAGGCUAAGUCACAAGCUUUUGUUAUAAGGUCUCAUCACACCAUAUGCCUCUCUUUCAAAACCAGCACCUGCAGAAAUACAUAAAAAGGGCUGGUCAUUUUUAAAUGAUCCCAUGAUCCCUGGACUCUUUGACUUCUCAAGGCUUAGACUCGUGCUUCCUGGAAUGUCCUUCAUUCCUCUCAGGCUGGUACAUUCCAAGUCUCCCUUCAGCACACAGCCUACAUGUGAAGAACAUGAUCGCAGCCCUCCAGCAAGGCCGGGUGAAAAGAACCACUGCCUUAGAACCCUGCAGAUGCAACUUUGGUGGCUUUAAAUGUUGGUUCUAACUGGACGGCUCAAGCCAGCACGGAUAUCUCCAUCAGGAAUUUCCCAUCCACAUUCCACAAGCAACUGUGUCUGUGCACAAAGUUGGAGGCAGUUUCUUAUAGGGCACGUUUGAGGCUGACUGCAGUGGAAGAUGUAACUUACUGGACAUCAUAGGGACAUGGUGCAUCCUGUCCCUAUGAUGCACCAUGCCUGGCCUGCGGGCCUUCUUAAUAUGCAGGGCAAUGGCCAGUGCUGCUGUCCCCCUGCACGCAGACUUGUCACAGUGGCACUGUGGGGCUCUGCUGGACUCAUCAGUGGCUCCCUCACCCACAGCCUUCACAACUCUGACUGGAAUUCUUCGCAGAGCCAGGGCACCUAAAGGCAAAAGGUCAUUCUCUCUGGGUGAAUCCAGCUGACAUGUUGUGAGGACACUCAAGCAGCUUUAUGGAAAAGCCCACAUGGUGAGCAACUGAGGCCUCCUACCAACAGCCAACAAGAAACCGGGGCCUUUGCCAACAGCCAAGAAAUAAGAAUCAGAAAGAAGGACACACCAUUCCAUAGCACAGAACACAAGUAGAUGGCUCCCAUGAAGAAUCUAGCAUCAUGGUAUGGCAGAAGCAGAAUGGACUCAGGAAUCAUGGUGCCUACACUGGAAUUUCAGAUCGGCCACUGACACAAUGGACACAUUAUUCAACAUUUCCAAAUCUUGGCAUUCUUAUCCACAAAGUGAAGAUAAUAAUUGUCAAUUCACAGGUGCAAAAGAUUUGUCAAGUAACUCUCCAAAGUAAAAGAGAGGGCUGGAGUUUAGACUCAUGACUGUUCUGCUCUAACCCAAGUGAUUCUGGAUCCCAGACUCCCCAAAUGACAAGUUAUUCCAGAAAUACUCAGAAAAAGGAGGGUGCCGUAUGUCGCACAUGGAAAAAUAGAAAAAGUAACAGAAUCCAGCCAAAGGAUUCCCAGAAAUUGAGGCUCUUCUGUUCUUGGCAUUUGCAUCUUUGGAUGUGUGUUUUUUACAUUGCUCUAUGCAAAAG
Homo sapiens (human) is the source of this 1562-nucleotide long non-coding RNA. Ensembl annotates it as prostate cancer associated transcript 1. Its record names the gene PCAT1. NCBI's taxonomy places the organism in Eukaryota, Metazoa, Chordata, Mammalia, Primates, Hominidae. The record is from Ensembl.